Molecule: long non-coding RNA, 278 nt
Filed under: Elaeis guineensis (African oil palm)
Lineage: Eukaryota; Viridiplantae; Streptophyta; Magnoliopsida; Arecales; Arecaceae
Description: long non-coding RNA (EGUI_LNC033984)
Source: RNAcentral
UGGUGAGCAUCGUUAAGAGUCUUCCUUCUAAUUGUCUUCCUUCAAGUUACUGGCAAGCAGGUAGUACUCUCUUGAAAUCCUAAGUAUUGAGUGGUGGACAGAUGUUUCUGUGGUUUUUUUGAGAUAUCUACCAUCAUGAUCACAUUAAUAACCAAUAGAAAACAUUUCACCAUUAUAUUUUGCUUCCAUACAAUUUCAGGAAAUGUGCUGUGGUUCUAGUAAGUUUCUGUGAAUAAGUAAAAAUAUAAUACUCCAUCCAGCUGCACAAAUCUUAAAGU